GACGAACGCUGGCGGCGUGCUUAACACAUGCAAGUCGAACGGUGAAGCUCCAGCUUGCUGGAGUGGAUCAGUGGCGAACGGGUGAGUAACACGUGAGCAACCUGCCCCUGACUCUGGAAUAAGCGCUGGAAACGGCGUCUAAUACUGGAUACGAGAAGGGUCCGCAUGGGCACUUUCUGGAAAGUGUUUCGGUUGGGGAUGGGCUCGCGGCCUAUCAGCUUGUUGGUGAGGUAGUGGCUCACCAAGGCGACGACGGGUAGCCGGCCUGAGAGGGCGACCGGCCACACUGGGACUGAGACACGGCCCAGACUCCUACGGGAGGCAGCAGUGGGGAAUAUUGCACAAUGGGCGAAAGCCUGAUGCAGCGACGCCGCGUGAGGGAUGACGGCCUUCGGGUUGUAAACCUCUUUCAGCAGGGAAGAAGCGAAAGUGACGGUACCUGCAGAAGAAGCACCGGCUAACUACGUG
This 468-nucleotide ribosomal RNA is filed under the name uncultured bacterium. RNAcentral's name for it is "partial 16S ribosomal RNA". It matches the Rfam family "Bacterial small subunit ribosomal RNA", at positions 28 to 507 of the family's 1533-position model. The record is from RNAcentral.